This 478-nucleotide ribosomal RNA is filed under the name uncultured bacterium. RNAcentral's name for it is "partial 16S ribosomal RNA". It matches the Rfam family "Bacterial small subunit ribosomal RNA", at positions 28 to 507 of the family's 1533-position model. The record is from RNAcentral.
GAUGAACGCUGGCGGCGUGCUUAACACAUGCAAGUCGAACGAGAAAUGUAGACGGAAACCUUCGGGCGGAAGCCUUCAUUUCGAGUGGCGGACGGGUGAGUAACGCGUGGGUAACCUGCCUCAUACAGGGGGAUAACAGUUGGAAACGACUGUUAAUACCGCAUAAGACCACAGCAUCGCAUGAUGCGGGGGUAAAAACUCCGGUGGUAUGAGAUGGACCCGCGUUCGAUUAGCCAGUUGGCGGGGUAACGGCCCACCAAAGCGACGAUCGAUAGCCGAUCUGAGAGGAUGACCGGCCACAUUGGGACUGAGACACGGCCCAAACUCCUACGGGAGGCAGCAGUGGGGAAUAUUGCACAAUGGGGGAAAACCUGAUGCAGCGACGCCGCGUGAGUGAAGAAGUACUUCGGUAUGUAAAGCUCUAUCAGCAGGGAAGAAAAUGACGGUACCUGAGUAAGAAGCCCCGGCUAACUACGUG